RNAcentral lists this unclassified non-coding RNA (434 nucleotides) under soil metagenome. RNAcentral's name for it is "partial contains 5.8S ribosomal RNA, internal transcribed spacer 2, and large subunit ribosomal RNA". The stretch from base 1 to 120 matches the Rfam family "5.8S ribosomal RNA", at positions 35 to 154 of the family's 154-position model. The record is from RNAcentral.
GAUGAAGAACGUAGCGAAAUGCGAUACGUAAUGUGAAUUGCAGAAUUCAGUGAAUCAUCGAAUCUUUGAACGCAUAUUGCGCUCUUUGGUAUUCCGAAGAGCAUGCUUGUUUGAGUAUCAGUAAACACCUCAAAGCUUUUGGAUUUUUUAAUCGAAAAGCUUUGGACUUGAGCAAUCCCAACACCAAUCUUUUUGAGAUCGGUGGCGGGUUGCUUGAAAUGCAGGUGCAGCUGGACAUUCUCCUGAGCUAAAAGCAUAUUCAUUUAGUCCCGUCAAACGGAUUAUUACUUUUGCUGCAGCUAACAUAAAGGGAGUUUGACCGUAUUGGCUGACUGAUGCAGGAUUUCACAAGGGUCGGCAACGAUUCUUGUUAAACUCCAUCUCAAAUCAAGUAAGACUACCCGCUGAACUUAAGCAUAUCAAUAAGCGGAGGA